AGUCUCUGUCCUACCACCCUGCACACAGCUCUUAGCAGAAGCUAAGUAGGGAUGAUCCUGAUGAGUACUUGGAUGGUAGACUGCCUGGGACUACCAAGUGCUAUAGACUU
Ribosomal RNA from Spermophilus dauricus (Daurian ground squirrel), 110 nucleotides. The record is from Ensembl. NCBI's taxonomy places the organism in Eukaryota, Metazoa, Chordata, Mammalia, Rodentia, Sciuridae.